Non-coding RNA from Phyllostomus hastatus (greater spear-nosed bat), 957 nucleotides. Lineage: Eukaryota; Metazoa; Chordata; Mammalia; Chiroptera; Phyllostomidae. The record is from the annotation of a RefSeq genome assembly.
AAAGGCCCCAAGGCCACCUCCUUCUACCUCAGGUGCCUGAGGAAGCAGUGUCCUGUGAGUGUCCCCACCAUGGCCUGGAUGGUGCUCCUGCUCGGGGUCCUUGCUUACAGCUCAGGUGUGGAUUCUCAGACUGUCAUCACCCAGGAGCCGUCACUGUCCGUUUCUCCAGGAGGGAAGAUCACACUCACCUGUGGCCUUAGUUCUGGGUCAGUCUCUAUUGGUAACUACCCUGGCUGGUACCAGCAGACCCCAGGCAAGGCUCCCCGCACGCUCAUCUGCAGCACAAGCAGCCGGCCCUCUGGGGUCCCUGAGCGCUUCUCUGGAUCCAUCUCUGAGAACAAAGCCGUCCUCACCAUCACGGGGGCCCAGCCUGAGGAUGAGGCCGACUAUUACUGUGCUCUGGAUAUGGGUAGUGAUACUUACACAGUGAUGUGAACCCAUGGGGAAGUUGAACCAAAACCUCCUUUUGUGCUCAAAAUGGCUCAGCUUUAAUGACAAGGAAAGAGACAGAGUGGAAAUGGUAAGCACAGGAAGGGGAGGGGCUCCUGGGCCCGAUACCCAUGUCCAGUGGCUCCUGUCUACAUGCCUUCACCAGUCUACCCCCAGGGUGUGCCCAUGUGUCCCAUGUGACCCUGCAGAAUGGGCUUCCUCUCCUUCUCUCUCCCUAGAACCAUGAUGGGGUGAGGGCUCAGUGCUGACACAUUAACCAUCAGACAGACCCAGAGCCCUCACUGCCCCUUGUAGUCCUGCCUGUGUUCAAGGAGCUUUAACAGGAUUUACUCUCAUGUAUUGAUUUCACCCUGUAGUCCUUGUGAGGGUUUUAUUAGCAUUUAAGUGAGGGUGUCACUGGGAGCUUGCAGGUGAUGCUGCUCCCUGACUAGGCUGCUGAGUGACUGUGUUUGUGAGCAAAACCUGUUUGAACAAGUCAUUUAGACUUCUUUAGCAACAAUAAAGUUU